This 207-nucleotide ribosomal RNA is filed under the name uncultured bacterium. Its description in RNAcentral is "partial 16S ribosomal RNA". It matches the Rfam family "Bacterial small subunit ribosomal RNA", at positions 568 to 774 of the family's 1533-position model. The record is from RNAcentral.
CUCGUAGGUGGCCAACUAAGUCGGACGUGAAAUCCCUCGGCUUAACCGGGGAACUGCGUCCGAUACUGGUUGGCUUGAGUUUGGGAGAGGGAUGCGGAAUUCCAGGUGUAGCGGUGAAAUGCGUAGAUAUCUGGAGGAACACCGGUGGCGAAGGCGGCAUCCUGGACCGAGAUUGACGCUGAGGCGCGAAAGCUAGGGUAGCAAACG